This 533-nucleotide ribosomal RNA is filed under the name uncultured Anaeromusa sp. RNAcentral's name for it is "partial 16S rRNA". It matches the Rfam family "Bacterial small subunit ribosomal RNA", at positions 56 to 572 of the family's 1533-position model. The record is from RNAcentral. Lineage: Bacteria; Bacillati; Bacillota; Negativicutes; Selenomonadales; Sporomusaceae.
UGCAAGUCGAACGGAGAUUCAGCAAUGGAUCUUAGUGGCGAACGGGUGAGUAACGCGUAGGCAAUCUGCCUUCUAGAUGGGGACAACAUCCCGAAAGGGGUGCUAAUACCGAAUGUUGUAGUUGGUUCGCAUGGACUAGCUACUAAAGGUGGCCUCUGAAUAUGCUACCGCUAGAAGAUGAGCCUGCGUCUGAUUAGCUAGUUGGAGGGGUAACGGCCCACCAAGGCUUCGAUCAGUAGCCGGUCUGAGAGGAUGAACGGCCACACUGGGACUGAGACACGGCCCAGACUCCUACGGGAGGCAGCAGUGGGGAAUCUUCCGCAAUGGACGAAAGUCUGACGGAGCAACGCCGCGUGAGUGAAGAAGGUUUUCGGAUCGUAAAGCUCUUUCGUUAGGGACGAACGUGCUCUUUGUGAAUAAUGAGGAGUAAUGACGGUACCUAAAUAAGAAGCCACGGCUAACUACGUGCCAGCAGCCGCGGUAAUACGUAGGUGGCAAGCGUUGUCCGGAAUUAUUGGGCGUAAAGCGCGCGC